UACGUAGGGGGCUAGCGUUGUCCGGAUUUAUUGGGCGUAAAGAGCGUGUAGGCGGCCAGGUAGGUCUGCUGUGAAAACUCGAGGCUCAACCUCGAGACGUCAGCGGAAACCAUCUGGCUAGAGUCCGGAAGAGGAGAGUGGAAUUCCUGGUGUAGCGGUGAAAUGCGCAGAUAUCAGGAGGAACACCAAUGGCGAAGGCAGCACUCUGGGACGUGACUGACGCUGAGACGCGAAAGCGUGGGGAGCAAACAGG
Molecule: ribosomal RNA, 253 nt
Filed under: uncultured bacterium
Lineage: Bacteria
Description: partial 16S ribosomal RNA
Rfam family: Bacterial small subunit ribosomal RNA
Source: RNAcentral